CACGGGGUUGCGAGCGUUGUCCAGAAUUACUAGGCGUAAAGGGCAGGCAGGCGGAUCCAUAAGUUUAUCGUUUAAGGCGUCGGCUUAACCGGCGUAGGGCGGUAGAUACUGUGGAUCUGGAAUGCGGUUGGGGAAGACAGAAUUCCUGGUGUAGCGGUGGAAUGCGCAGAGAUCAGGAGGAAUACCGAAGGCGAAGGCAGUCUUCCAAGCCGUUAUUGACGCUCAACUGCGAAGGUGUGGGUAUCAAACAGGAUUAGAUACCCGCGUAGUCCCU
This 274-nucleotide ribosomal RNA is filed under the name uncultured prokaryote. RNAcentral's name for it is "partial 16S ribosomal RNA". It matches the Rfam family "Bacterial small subunit ribosomal RNA", at positions 524 to 798 of the family's 1533-position model. The record is from RNAcentral.